UGGUCCUAGCCUUAAGAUCAAUUAUUACUUAAUAUAUACAUGCAAGUCUCCACACCCCUGUGAGAACGCCCUUCAAUCCCUAAUAGGGUCAAGGAGCCGGUAUCAGGCACAACAAUUAGCCCAAAACACCUAGCUAUGCCACACCCACAAGGGUACUCAGCAGUAAUUAAUAUUGAAUAUAAGCGCCAGCUUGAUUCAGUUAAAGUAAAGAGGGCCGGCAAAUCUGGUGCCAGCCGCCGCGGCUAUACCACGUGGCCCAAAUUGAUAUUUCACGGCGUAAAGCGUGAUUAAAGCUAAUUUUCAUUGUAGUUAAACUAUUAAUAAGCUGUGAUACGCUUUUAUUUAGGAAACCCAAAAACGAAAGUUACUACAUACAAAACAACUUGAAUUCACAACAGUUAGGACACAAACUAGGAUCAGAUACCCUACUAUGCCUAACUAUAAACCUUUAACUUACACUCAAAUCGCCAGGGAACUACGAGCAAAGCUUAAAACCCAAAGGACUUGACGGUACCCCAUAUCCCCCUAGAGGAGCCUGUCCUAUAAUCGAUAAUCCCCGUUUAACCUCACCAUUUUUAGUUAAUCAGUCUGUAUACCUCCGUCGCCAGCUUACCAUAUGAAUGUUACAAAGUAAGUUUAAGGAUCAAAGCCAUCAACACGUCAGGUCAAGGUGCAACUAAUAAAAUGGGAAGAGAUGGGCUACACUCUCUAUUUUAGAACAAACAAAAAACUAACUGAAAACUAGUUAGAAGGUGGAUUUAGAAGUAAAAGGAGACUAGAGAGCUCUUUUUAACACGGCCCUGGGGUGUGUACACACCGCCCGUCACCCUCUUUAUAGCUUUCAUACAAUAGUAUUUAACAAUAAACUGCGUAAUAGAAGAGGCAAGUCGUAACAUGGUAAGUAUACCGGAAGGUGUGCUUGGAAA
RNAcentral lists this non-coding RNA (926 nucleotides) under Hyloscirtus charazani (Charazani treefrog). RNAcentral describes it as "partial 12S ribosomal RNA". It matches the Rfam family "Bacterial small subunit ribosomal RNA". The record is from RNAcentral. Lineage: Eukaryota; Metazoa; Chordata; Amphibia; Anura; Hylidae.